CUUAAACCCAUUCUGUCAUUUAACCAAAACCCUAUCCUCAUUUGCUCAAUAGAAUUUAAGAUUAAAAUUUCAAUUAACCUUUUGCCCUAGAACCAACAUCCCGCGCUUUCAUUCUUCAUUUCCCCCAAUUCAUUCCCCCCAAUAGCAGCCUCCCUCCCAACUCACCUCCGAUCCACCACUUGACAAACUCAUCGGAGUUUUGUUCGACGAUAAACCUACAUCUUCAUCAUCGAUCAAUAUCAGACUCCGCUCCGAGAAAUUAGGGAUCGAAAAGUUGUAUUUGAUCCUCAAACAAGGCUUUGAUGCUGACAGUGAUGGGAAAUUAGGGCUUCAACGAUGGGAACCGGCUCAGAUUCAAGCCGUUGUUUCCGUUGCGUAUGCGAUUGUUUGUUCAAAUCGAUCUGUUUCUGUGGAGCAAGUGGAACCGAUAGUUGUUGCUGUGAUGGAGCAGUCGAUGGAGUUUGCUCUUUGUUGGUUGGAGAAGUCAGUUGCUACCAGUGAUGAUUUAAGUUUUAUUCAGUUUCAUCCAAAACACCGUGGAGGAGGUGGCGUUGGUGGUGCCGGAAUCCGACGACACGUCCCUACCGGUGAUGACGUUUCGAGCAUGGACACUGGGUGUAGGGUCAUGCAUAGUUCUAAUAUUCCUAAACACCUUCUUCAUAUACCGAACUCAACCGUUAGCAAUAUCAGCAAUUCUGAUGCAAAUUUUUUUUAUCAUAUUUCUUUUCACUUUUGGGAUUUUUUGCUAUUUUCAUCCAGAUGACUAACUUUUUUUGCCACAAUUGUUUCUGAGAUUUGGAUUUUUUUGUCAUUUUCAUCCAAAUGUCUGACAAGAAUAACAAAGCAAAUUUGACGUUUGAUUGAAAAUGUCAAAAAAAAAUCACAAAAGUGAAAGGCAAUAUGGUACUAAAAAGUUGUUUUGCAUGAAACUGACAAAAAUGCCCAAACUCAGAGACGAUUUUGGCAAUUUACUCUUUUAAUUUUAUUAGUAACCAAGUUAUAUGUUUUUUUUUUAUUUUAUUAAUGAUAGCAAUAUCUUUUUUAUUGUUCUUCUUUUAGUGAUAACUUGGAAUUGUAAUUUUACUAAAGUUUGAGAUCCAACAUAUUUCUUCAAAUACUCUUUAAAAAAGGAAACAUGUAGUGGUGUUCAUUAUGUGGUUUUAUUCGAAUUAUUCGAAUUUGGAAAUUUUUAAAGUAAAUUCAAAAAAAAGGAUUGAAAAUUUGAAAAUUAUACAAAAAAAUAUGUAAGAAAACACGAAUAAGUAAAAUUUAUAAUAUAUUUCAAAUUUGAGUUAUUAUGGUUGGUUCGAUUCAAGAUUCCGAAAUUCAAAUUCGAUUCAGAACCGAAUCAGAAAUUCGGACUAGAUAAGAACUUGAUUCGAAUAACCCUGAAGUCGAAUUCGAAUUUAGAUCAAUUCGAAUUUUAGGUAUUUUAAUACUAAUUUAAAUAAUGAACACCCCAGACUGUCCCCAAUUAUAAGUAGUUUUAAAGUUUAACAAGAUUAAGUUUACAUGUUCGUUUGCAUAUAUUCACAAUUACACACAUUUUAGUAUCCAUAUAAUAAAAAUAUAUAUAAAUUUUGUUAAUUUUUUGCUGUUCAAAAAACCAAAAAAAAAAAAAAACCCUCGCCCAUGUGAAAGAAAAUUUCAUUUCAACAA
Helianthus annuus (common sunflower) is the source of this 1659-nucleotide RNA transcript. RefSeq lists it as uncharacterized. Lineage: Eukaryota; Viridiplantae; Streptophyta; Magnoliopsida; Asterales; Asteraceae. The record is from RefSeq and is a predicted model, not a curated record. The transcript has 3 exons.